Molecule: unclassified non-coding RNA, 718 nt
Filed under: Hevea brasiliensis (rubber tree)
Lineage: Eukaryota; Viridiplantae; Streptophyta; Magnoliopsida; Malpighiales; Euphorbiaceae
Source: RNAcentral
UUUUUGAGCAAGAUUUUCUGCGUACACAUUCUUGCAGAUUACAAAUCAUCCAGUGUUCAUACGCAAUUAUUAAAUUUUGCAUCACAGUUCAAAAUUUUACCAUGUUUUUAUCAAUGGAAUUGGAGAAACCUGAAUGGUAGAAAAAGAGUGAAUAUCUUCUUUUUUCUUUUAAGAAAAGAAAAUUAACAUUUUGCAUGAUCAGUGAGAAUUUGAAUAGACAUCAUAAAGAUCCAUAGAUGAGGUCGAGGAAACCUUAUAUAGAUCACUGUUGGAAGUAGAGGAAGAAGCAUGCUAAGACCUGAUUGAUUUUUUUGUGUAAUUGUCUUGAUUUCCUACAAAACUGCUGCUGGUCUUUGGUCUAAGAUGAUCUUUGAUGAUUUUAAACCUCAACUCUUCACUAGAACCACUUUCUUCAGGGAUCACAUCAGGUAUGAUGCUAAUUCCUUCCAGCAUACUUGCCACUUCAGACAUGGUUGGUCUUAAAGAAGGCGUAGCAUUUGUGCAUAAGAGAGCCACUUUAAUCAUCCUUUCUGCUUCUACCUCAUUGAAUUCAGAUCCCAGCUUCUCAUCUACCAGCUCUACUAGUUUCCCAUUAUGCUGUAACUGGCAGGCCCAAUCUAGAAGACAAGCAAACUUGUUCUCUGGCCCAUGACUCAUAUUAUUCUUCCCAGUAACAAUUUCCAAUGCCACAAUGCCAAAACUGUAAACAUCUGCUUUG